CAGUCGCCACGGGAAUACGUAGGUGGCAAGCGUUGUCCGGAAUUAUUGGGCGUAAAGAGCUCGCAGGCGGUUUCUUAAGUCUGAUGUGAAAGCCCCCGGCUCAACCGGGGAGGGUCAUUGGAAACUGGGAAACUUGAGUGCAGAAGAGGAGAGUGGAAUUCCACGUGUAGCGGUGAAAUGCGUAGAGAUGUGGAGGAACACCAGUGGCGAAGGCGACUCUCUGGUCUGUAACUGACGCUGAGGAGCGAAAGCGUGGGGAGCGAACAGGAUUAGAUACCCCCGUAGUCCCUGUCUCUUAUAA
This 301-nucleotide ribosomal RNA is filed under the name uncultured bacterium. RNAcentral's name for it is "partial 16S ribosomal RNA". It matches the Rfam family "Bacterial small subunit ribosomal RNA", at positions 509 to 809 of the family's 1533-position model. The record is from RNAcentral.